Molecule: non-coding RNA, 72 nt
Organism: Gekko japonicus
Lineage: Eukaryota; Metazoa; Chordata; Lepidosauria; Squamata; Gekkonidae
Source: the annotation of a RefSeq genome assembly
GGAGGGGUGGCUCAGUGGCAGAGCGUCUGCUCAACAAGCAGAAGGUCCCAGGUUCAAACCCGGGCAUCCCCA